CUUUUAUUGUGAGCAUUGCAAACGUCAAGGGCACACCAAAGACCGCUGUUGGGUGGUUAAUCCUCAUCUAAAACCAUCAAGGUAUAAAGACGCUCCUCGUCGCGGUUCUGCAAUGACCGCCGGUCAUGAUACCACUUCAAACGAUGGAACCAUCAGCCUCACAACUGAUGAGAUGAGAGGCCUUAAACAACUUCUUCAAUCUCUCAACAAAGAGACUGGAUAUUAACUCAGACCAUGUGUUUGGAAAUGGCACAAGGACGGGCAAUCUCUUUUACAUCGCAGAAUCUCAUUCUAGUUUUUUCUCCGUUUCACCUAGUGUGUGGCAUGCUCGCUUUGGACAUCCACACUCUAAAGUUUUACAUUUACUUGUUCCCAACGUUAAGUCAUUUGAACACAUUUGUGAAGCUUGUACUUUAGGGAAACAUUGUCGAACGGUUUUUCCGAUUUCCUCUACUAUCUAUGAGCAUGCUUUUGAUUUAGUUCA
Long non-coding RNA from Tarenaya hassleriana, 484 nucleotides. RefSeq lists it as uncharacterized. Lineage: Eukaryota; Viridiplantae; Streptophyta; Magnoliopsida; Brassicales; Cleomaceae. The record is from RefSeq and is a predicted model, not a curated record. The transcript has 2 exons.